Molecule: non-coding RNA, 23 nt
Filed under: Cricetulus griseus (Chinese hamster)
Lineage: Eukaryota; Metazoa; Chordata; Mammalia; Rodentia; Cricetidae
Source: RNAcentral
UCCUUUCAUCGUGUAGAGAGAGA